UCGUAUGGUGACAAGUCUCGUUAAUUCAGUAAAACGAGCGCGACCUUAGUUGCAUAGGGGGCGUCAGCUUAGUUCUGUCACCCCCCAUCCGCCCCUCUCUGUGGGGCGGUGGAAUUGCAAGACAUUCGGUGUAAGGCAACACGCCUGUAAUCGUAAGGAGGAGUAAGGCGAGAAUA
RNAcentral lists this ribosomal RNA (176 nucleotides) under uncultured eukaryote. RNAcentral describes it as "partial 18S ribosomal RNA". The record is from RNAcentral.